RNAcentral lists this long non-coding RNA (3144 nucleotides) under Physcomitrium patens. RNAcentral's name for it is "long non-coding RNA (PPAT_LNC010196)". The record is from RNAcentral. Lineage: Eukaryota; Viridiplantae; Streptophyta; Bryopsida; Funariales; Funariaceae.
CUGCGAACGAGUCGGGAAAGGGGCUCCAAGACGACGAGAUCCAAAGACGUGAUAUGAAGGUCGCAGAUACGUUUCUUCUCGAGGACAGGAGCAUACCUGUUAACAAUCGAACAGCUGAUCCGGGACAAAUUCCCGUCAUUCCGGGUAAAACUGAGGACGAUGCAUAUGGUGGUGUUUUGCUUGCUGAAUUGUUUAUUUUGUGACUUUUAAAAUAGGAUUAAAUUGCAUUGAAUCACGCACAUGUCCUUGCGGUAUGAUCUUGGUGCGUUGGAUCUUGUAUUAUGAUAUCGAUUAUUUCCCAUGUGUGUGUAUUCCUGUUGAAAAUGUAUCAGUUUCGAGAUUUCUUCUGAUUUAGCAUCUUUGACGCGGGUUGUUUAGAAUUGGCCGUUUCAGCUCCAGUUUGAUGCGGUGAUUACACAUCAACUGAUUACGCAUUCUCUGGAUAUAGGUUUUUCAGUGGAAACCGCACUGGAGAGGUCGGCGAGUCUCACGGAUAGCGAGAAUCAGGGUUCUUUGACAGCGCCGCUAGCCACCAGUGAGACCGAGGGAGCGACAUCCCACAAUUCCAGAACCUCGGCUGACACGACGGCUUCUCCUCGGGUAUGAUACAGGCCUAAAAGCAAGUGUUGGUUUCUAGCUGUGGCAUGUCUCACGUUCUCUUGCUUCUCGAAGAAAAAGAAAGCAAGAGGAGUGACUUUCAAGAGAGAUGUGUGAGUGGAGAGAUAUAUGCGAGGGUUAUACUAAGAUUCAUAGUAGUAGAAAGAAUAAACUUCUCUGUAGGAGCAAAGUUACCUGGUAAUAGAGCAACAUGGUCAAGAUGCACUAGGCUAACUUCUCUUGGAUAUCUUCUUCUCCGAGAACACUCCAACUUGCUUCACUGAAUCAACAAGUUGGUUGUUUGAUAGGAUUAUCAACCGUGGAAGGUGUGGUUUUCCAACUGCACAGGAGCACCCGGCGAAGAGGUUUUGGACGUUGUCUUCUUUCAUGGCCUCCAAAUUGGUCAUGGAAGGAACGCGCGAGAAAAAAACAUGGACUAAUUCUGAUGGAGCACUCUGGCCGAAGGAUUGGCUACCACGUUUGCUUGAAGGAAUUCUCAACGGGAGAAAGCUGCGAGUGGUGGGCAUUGCAUACAACGCACAAGCAAGUUCGUGGCGAACUGGUGAUUAUGGUGUGAGAGCCGAUGGACAUAAAGCUAUUGCUCAUGAUUUGUUCCAGAUUCUGGUCGUGUCUGAAAGGUAAGUAUAUUAUUAUUUUUGUCUAGCGGUGAAUGUAGACCGUUACAGUAGUCUUUGGCUAGUUAGCUUAUAUGAUUUGUUUUGCUGGGAACAACGAUGAUUAGAAAUUACGUGUAGGUGAAGGUCCAGACUUCACAUUCAUCCUUACCAGGGUUGUUGAUGGUGCCGUCUUGUUUAAUUUUGUGCAGGUGUUCCUUGGGAAGAAAUCCAUUUGUAUUAGUCAGCCAUUCUUAUGGUGGUAUUGUCAUAAAGAGCUUGGUGGCCUAUUGCAAUGACGUUUCCAAUUUACCACAUGUGAGAGAAGUGGGUUAUCUCAAAAUUGCAGCAAUCGACGCCGCAGCUAAGUUUAUGGAAGAGCUCCAGGCGUGUGUGUUCUAUGGUGUGCCACAUAGAGGAUCAAUUUUUGCCACAAUCGCCAGUUGCUUUUUCAUGUGCAUGGGAAGGACUGUUUCCAUUGACCUGAGGCCUGGCAGUCGGGAAAUCUUGCAAUUGAAUAUGGAGUAUGAAUUGGCUAUUCGCAAGCGACAUGUGAUACAAUACGCAUUUAUUGAAACCAUUCCGGUGGUAAGUCGAGGGUCUACUUUUCUCUCGGUCUAAUAGCUGGAUAUGUCCAUCUCAACUUUCAUGUCCGAUUCAUAGCCCUGUUCUAGGUUUCGAGAAGCCUUCUUCAACGUAUGAUUAAUUCACUAAUAGGUCAAACUCUUUCCAACACUGAAAAGAACUUAUAAUAUGAUCUUGUAGUACUUCACACGUACAAAUUUAUACAUCUGCAUUUCAAUAUUCCGAUAACCUAUGGAACAUCAAGCAUAAGAUCUGUGUUUUGUACUUCAAAUAGGAUUUAGUUAGCAUGGUAAAAGUUUUGAGUGUCUCAUCUGUGGAAUGUAGACUGACCAAAUAUGCUGUGCAGGUAUGGAACUGCAUGGUGGUAGAUUCUUCCUCUGCACGAGGGUUCCUUGAUGAUUUUGAAUGUGUGACUCUACCGGGCACCAGUCACAAGACUGUGUGCAAGCCUAGGACAAUUCAGUCUGUAGGGAUUGUAAAGUUUGUAGAGUUGAUCGAGAAAGUUGCUACAGUCCUGGAUAGUGCACCAUUAGUGGUGCCUAUCCCUACGAAUGAAAAUGCGUAUUCAGGUACUGCCAACUAGCGUCACAUGCUUGACAAGGCUGGCUCAUGCUAUGUGUUGGACGAUAUAUCUUCAAGAACUCUAGUCGUAGGGGAGGGAGGUGUUUAUUAUGAAUUUGUAGUAAUAAGUGCAACUAGAGGGAGUCACACAACCCUCGAAACUUCACAAUUACAUCCUCAAGAGAGUUUAGGAUUCUCAUUGCUCAGCUCCAUUUGAUUUUCUGCUUUUCACAUGUUGCAGUAACAGGAACUUAUUCUGCUUGGUUUUGUGUUUGAAAUAGGCUACUUUAUUCACGGAGGUAGUGCGGCCCAAAACUGCAAUGAAGAGACCCAAGGACGUGAUAUGAAGGUCGCAGAUACGUUUCUUCUCGAGGACAGGAGCAUACCUGUUAACAAUCGAACAGCUGAUCCGGGACAAAUUCCCGUCAUUCCGGGUAAAACUGAGGACGAUGCAUAUGGUGGUGUUUUUCUUGCUGAAUUGUUUAUUUUGUGACUUUUAAAAUAGGAUUAAAUUGCAUUGAAUCACGCACAUGUCCUUGCGGUAUGAUCUUGGUGCGUUGGAUCUUGUAUUAUGAUAUCGAUUAUUUCCCAUGUGUAUGUAUUCCUGUUGAAAAUGUAUCUGUUUCGAGAUUUCUUCUGAUUUAGCAUCUUUGACGCGGGUUGUUUAGAAUUGGCCGUUCAAGCUCCAGCUUUCCUGUAGCAUUUGUUGAAUGUUGUGGGUGAAAUACUUCAAUGCUUUUGUUUCUUCAUCGGAUUUUUGUGCUCAUGCAUGCUGAUUGGUUUGGCG